RNAcentral lists this ribosomal RNA (251 nucleotides) under uncultured bacterium. RNAcentral describes it as "partial 16S ribosomal RNA". It matches the Rfam family "Bacterial small subunit ribosomal RNA", at positions 524 to 776 of the family's 1533-position model. The record is from RNAcentral.
UACGGAGGGUGCAAGCGUUAUCCGGAUUCACUGGGUUUAAAGGGUGCGUAGGCGGACAGGUAAGUCAGUGGUGAAAUCUCCGAGCUUAACUCGGAAACUGCCUUUGAUACUCUCUGUCUUGAAUAUGGUGGAGUAAGCGGAAUAUGUCAUGUAGCGGUGAAAUGCUUAGAGAUGACAUAGAACACCUAUGCGAAGGCAGCUUACUACGCCUAUAUUGACGCUGAGGCACGAAAGCGUGGGGAUCAAACAGG